GGGGGCGAUCUGGGCUCGACGGUGAUCACGAAAUCCAAGGUGCAUGCCGAGGUACGGUAAUCCUCGUAAAACUUUUCCGUAACCUAAGCUAGUUGCGAACGACUCCAACUACGCCCUCGCUGCCUAAAUAGCGGUGAGCGUCUGACCGGCUGGUGCUGAUCCCACCGGACCCAGGCGUCGACUCAGAUCAGAUCGUGGUGACGUCCGCUCUUGGCCGAUCCACUAAAACCCUAAGGAGCUAAGCGCCGUCGUUCCCUGCUCGUCGGGUAGUCGGUGCCGACAAUCAAGGACUGAGCUAAGCAUGUAGAGCCGAGGGUGGAAGAUUGUCGGACGCGGGUUCGAUUCCCGCCGCCUCCACCA
This 360-nucleotide transfer-messenger RNA is filed under the name Banduia mediterranea. It matches the Rfam family "transfer-messenger RNA". From Rfam's summary of the family: Bacterial tmRNA, also known as 10Sa RNA or SsrA, is named for its dual tRNA and mRNA-like properties. Its role is to liberate the mRNA from a stalled ribosome. To accomplish this part of the tmRNA is used as a reading frame that ends in a translation stop signal. The record is from RNAcentral. Lineage: Bacteria; Pseudomonadati; Pseudomonadota; Gammaproteobacteria; Nevskiales; Algiphilaceae.